Molecule: ribosomal RNA, 254 nt
Filed under: uncultured bacterium
Lineage: Bacteria
Description: partial 16S ribosomal RNA
Rfam family: Bacterial small subunit ribosomal RNA
Source: RNAcentral
UACGAAGGGGGCUAGCGUUGCUCGGAAUCACUGGGCGUAAAAGGGUGCGUAGGCGGGUCUUUAAGUCAGGGGUGAAAUCCUGGAGCUCAACUCCAGAACUGCCUUUGAUACUGAGGAUCUUGAGUUCGGGAGAGGUGAGUGGAACUGCGAGUGUAGAGGUGAAAUUCGUAGAUAUUCGCAAGAACACCAGUGGCGAAGGCGGCUCACUGGCCCGAUACUGACGCUGAGGCACGAAAGCGUGGGGAGCAAACAGG